ACAUCCUCAACCUGCUUGGUUUUAUCGAACCAAGUAGGCUUGGAAUUUGGAGGUUUUCUGCUGGCCUCCUCCGAAGCCAGCUCCUCUUAAAUGUAUCAGUGGGGUCCGCUUUGCUAGAUCCUCAAUGUUGAUAAGAUAUUUCUACAUCUUGGGUUUUGCUCGAGAAGGAACCUGCUUCUAACUGUCCCAUCAGGGACAAUGUUUGAGCCGAUCGCCCUUCACGGGAUGGGAAGCUUUCGACCUAUGAAA
Molecule: unclassified non-coding RNA, 249 nt
Filed under: uncultured Russula
Lineage: Eukaryota; Fungi; Basidiomycota; Agaricomycetes; Russulales; Russulaceae
Description: sequence contains ITS2
Source: RNAcentral